AAAUCAGAAGCUUGUGCUCCAAGAUGGCUCAAUAUUUAUCAAUGGCAAGACCCCCACCAUCGUGCCAUGGAUGAAAAUCCAUCCGUACUUGUUGUAGGCCGUUGUGGACAAAGUAUGGAUGGACCAGGUUUGCUUUCAUUUGUUGACACUUACACGGGGAGGGAGAUUAGUUCAUCGAGCCAGAUUCACUCGGUUGUGAAAGUUAUCCCACA
This 212-nucleotide unclassified non-coding RNA is filed under the name Hevea brasiliensis (rubber tree). Lineage: Eukaryota; Viridiplantae; Streptophyta; Magnoliopsida; Malpighiales; Euphorbiaceae. The record is from RNAcentral.